UUCUAGAUUAAUUGGCUAGCUAGCUCCAUAUCUAGAUCUGUGGCUUGUAGUGUGAUUUUUUUGCUAGAUCGAUUGCUAGCUAGCUUCAUUACCUAGAUCCAUGGCUAUGUGAUUCUUUUGGUAGCACAUGCUCAAGCUCUUGGCUAGAUUAGGUUGCCGUGUGAUUUUUUUCCUAGCACAUGGUCAGGUUCUUUUUUUUUUGCGAUACAUGGUCAGGUUCUUGGCUACAUCAAUUAGCUAGCAAGAUCCAUUAUCUAGGUCCGUGGCUCUAUGAUUGUUUGAGUAGCACAUGCUCAAGUUGUUGGCUUGCUUGGUCUAAUUUGACUCUAUAUUAUGGACAUGUACCAGAGAAGAUACGUGACUUGAAGUUGAUAUUUGGCAUGAUGGCAUCGACACUUGAGUGUUGAGCUUUCUAAUUAUCAUUGAUCAUGGAGGAAUACAAACUGACAAAUACAAGAGCCAGGUGAGCAACAGUGUUUUAGCAGUCCAAUUAUGUAGUAGCCUAUACAAGUUCUAUAGAUCAGAAGAAGGUUAUGAAUUUAAUGCUUUGGCAUGUUACUGCUAAUAGGAAAUGCAUACGGUGCCCACGUGAUGGUGCUCACAGGUGCGGUAUUGCAAUGGUCAGCGGCAACAUUACAUGCCGUGUGCAGAUAAAAAAUCUCCAGCACCUAUCAGUUGGUUCCCUCGAGCCCCAGAGAUUAAUUGAGACUAGAGCUAUGAAGUGUUCUCUUUUAUUUCUUGGUCAGAUUGUUGGAUGUCAGCGUCAACUCUCUAGAGAAAUCAACAGUGUCCUAUGUUCAUGUGUUUCUGCAUUUUUGUUCUCACCUUGGCUGGUCCGUAACAAAACUCAAUUCCUAAUGAUGAACACUUAAGCUACACACCACGAAUGUGCUUGUGGAAGAUUCAGUAAUUGCAGAAAAAACUAAGGUCACUGCUUCUUCCUCUUUUUUCUUUGCAACUGAUCAUUUGCAUAUUUUAUUUGUUUUCAUAGUAGAAGAUUGGCUUCGUAUGAGUGAAUUUCUUAAGGUGUCAUGUGUUCUUAUCGGUUUCUCCACCUUUACUUAUUCUGGGGUGUGCCAUGGCGCACCAUCCCGUGAAAUUCGCUCUCAGUAUGACUAAAAAUCAAAUGUUAGACAAUAGCACUAGCAAUAACCGAUAAGAGCAGCAUGGCCGCUGCUGUAGUUUGAUCCCGCCAGGAAAAGGGGUCUCACGGUGAGGACAGGUUCAGUUGUUCAUCAAUUAAUCCCCCACUGGUUUGAGGUGUUCACUGCAUCUACUUGCUCCUAUCGUUUAUUCUUGCCUUAUCAUUGGUUCUCUUGGAAUAUGCUCAUAUUGACAGUUUUUCUUCUGUC
Long non-coding RNA from Lolium perenne, 1352 nucleotides. RefSeq lists it as uncharacterized. Lineage: Eukaryota; Viridiplantae; Streptophyta; Magnoliopsida; Poales; Poaceae. The record is from RefSeq and is a predicted model, not a curated record.